AUGAAUCCCGCUGCCACGCGCGGCCGGUUUACCUCUCCAGCUACCCUCCAGCAGCGCCGCUGUUGCCCUGUUCUUCCCCUCCUCACCCACCCCAACUCCUCACCCCUAGCCUCCUUCGCCUCAAGGCGGACGUCUCCGAUUUGGAUAGGAUUCCAUGGCGUGUUCACGCCGCCACGCACAGUCGGUCUUCCUCUCCAGCUACAUUCCAGCAGUGUCGGCGUUGCCCUGUUCUUCCCCUCCUCCCCUUCCCCAACUCCUCACCCCCAGCCUCCUCCGCCUCAGAGGCGGACGUCUCCAAUUUGGAGCUCAAGUACUGCCUCCCCGGCACCUCCAUCCCCAUCUCUGCCAUGGAUUUGGAUGCUUGCAGAUUUGGAUUGGGGUGCAACAGAGAUGAGGAAGGACAAAGCACGAACAGCUCAAGUGAGAGUGAACGGAUAUGAACACCACAACCCUCUCAGGGGACGUUGGUUGAUCAGGAUACCCAAUUCUCAAACAAGCAUCCUGAGAUGCUCUAGAUAUGGAAGUUCACCCCCAAGCUCGACCAACAAGUUUUUUGGUUCAUGUUCAAUGGGAGGUGAAGAGUGUCGAGCAGGUAUUGAUGCAGGUCCAAGGUAA
RNAcentral lists this ribosomal RNA (615 nucleotides) under Triticum aestivum (bread wheat). Its description in RNAcentral is "partial small subunit ribosomal RNA". The record is from RNAcentral. Lineage: Eukaryota; Viridiplantae; Streptophyta; Magnoliopsida; Poales; Poaceae.